AAUAAGGCGUACGGUGGAUGCCUUGGUCGAAAGUACCGAAGAAGGACGUAUUAGGCUGCGAUAAUUUGCGGGGAGCUGCCAAAAAGCUUUGAUCCGCAAGAUUCCGAAUGGAGUAAUCCCCCCGAUUUAUCGGGGACUGUUAACUGAAUUCAUAAGUUAACGGAGGGUACGUGCCGAACUGAAACAUCUAAGUAAGCACAGGAAAAGAGAACAAAAGUUAUUCCCUAAGUAGUGGCGAGCGAAAUGGGAACAGUCUAAACCAUACACCAGGCAUUCGCGCAAGCGAAUGACCCGUAUGGGGUUGUGAGGCAACAGUAGCGACAAAUUUAACUAACAGAACAAGCUGGAAAGCUUGACCAAAGAAGGUGACAGUCCUGUAAGUAAAAGUUAAGUUUGCGUGGUUGAUCCCUCAAGUAGCUCAGGACACGAGUAAUCCUGGGUGAAUCCGGCAGGACCAUCUGCUAAGACUAAAUAUACUUUCGGACCGAUAGUGAACUAGUACCGUGAGGGAAAGGUGAAAAGAAGAGCGGAACGCUCAGUGAAAUAGUACCUGAAACCGUAUGCUGACAAGCAGCGAAAGUCCCGAUUUAUCGAGGAUGAUCGCGUGCCUAUUGAAGAAUGAACCGGUGAGUUAUUUGUUGUGGCAAGGCUAACCCGUCAAGGCGGGGAAGCCGUAGUGAAAGCAAGCCUUAAAAGGGCGAUUAGUCAUAACUUAUAGACCCGAAACCGUGUGAGCUAACCAUGUGCAGGGUGAAGGCCGCCGAAAGGCGGUUGGAGGCCCGAACCCGUAUCUGUGGAAAUAGGUUGGGAUGACAUGUGGUUAGAGGUGAUAUGCCUAGCGAACACGGAGAUAGCUGGUUCUCCCCGAAAUAUAUUUAGGUAUAGCCCUGUGUAAUAACAUUGGGGGUAGAGCUCUGGAUGGAUUUGGCGGCAGCAAUGUCGUCACUCCAAUCAAACUUCAAAUACCAAUGUUUUGUAGCAGGAGUCAGUCCGAUCCGGCUAAGCGGAGCGGUCCUGAGGGAAACAACCCAGAUCGUCAGUUAAGGUCCCUAAAUGCAAGCUAAGUGUUAAAGGAAGUUUAGUUCCUUAGACAGCCAGGAAGUUGGCUUAGAAGCAGCCACCUUUUAAAGAUAGCGUAACAGCUCGCUGGUCUACUACGGAAUUGAGCGCCGACAACGUAUCGGGGCUAAGCUUGCUACCGAAGCUACGAAUCUUGUCUGCAGGACAAGAAUUUUCAAUGAUCAAGUACCAAUUAUCAAUGAAUUUUCAAAAUUCAAAUGUUUCAAACAUUUGAAAAUUAAGAAAUUAAAAUUUUAUUGUAAAUUGAAAAUUGUAAAUUGGACAUUCUCGCCUUGCAGGCGAGGUGGUAGGGGAGCGUUCUAAAUGUUAUGAAGCUAAGCUGUGAGGCUUGGUGGAACGUUUAGAAGUGAGAAUGCCGGUAUGAGUAACGUAUGAAUGUGAGAAACAUUCAAGCCGAAAGCCCAAGGUUUCCGAUCCCAUGUUAAUCAGGGUCGGGUUAGUCGGUCCUAAGGUCAGGCCACGUUAGUGGAUUAGCCGAUGGACAACAGGUUAAAAUUCCUGUACUUUUUUAUGUUUGACAAGUUUUGAAGUUUUGAGAAAUCAAAAUCAGGAAGCCAUUAAGGAUGAACAGAGUAGGAAAAUCUUUGCCAGCUAUACGCUGGUACAAGCAACAAGUUAGUGGAGGCAGGCAAAUCCGCUUCUACAAGCUGUCAGUUACGCUGAUUUUAGUGAUCAGUUUGACUGGCUUUAGUCAGCUCAGCUGAUAGCUAAAAAAUACAAGUUGUGAUGUCGGAAGAAAGAGUUUUUCUGUUUUCAGGAAAAGAUUCGUAAUGGAAACAUAGAGAACCCGUACUAAAACCAACACAGGUGGGCGAGUUGAGUAUACAAAGGCUAUCGAGAGAACUAUCCUUAAGGAACUCGGCAAUAUAGCUGGACGUAAGUUAGCGAGAUGUCCUGCCCGUAGAAAUACGGGUUGCAAUAAAUGACGCUGAGCGACUGUUUAUCAAAAACACAGGUCCCUGCUAAUCUGAAAAGAGAUGUAUAGGGGCUGACACCUGCCCAGUGCCAGUAAAUUAAAAUUGGAGAUGACCUCUGAGAGUAAUCAAUGAGUGAGUUUCUGGUCUAAGUUCUGGUGAACGGCGGCUUUAACUAUAAGAGUCCUAUGGUAAUUCGUUGCUUUAGGAGAGUUAAACGUUUUUGGUGUUAGUGAUUUUUGAAUCUGACUAUAUGCUGGAAAAACUCAGUAUCCGACAGUACCAGUUAGAAGUGAGAAGUUAGAUGUAAGAAGAUGGAAAAAAGAAGUGAGAGGUGAGAUUUUUUAGUCCCACAUCCUAUUUCUAAAUCUACAUUCCCAUCGCACACUUCGCACAUCAAAUAUGGUGACAAUCUGUUCGGUGGAGUAAAUCAGCAGGGAAGAUUACAGCCUACCGCUGUAGAACCCUCAGAGACUAUACGUCAGACCUACUCUUUUUAACUUAAAGAAUUAGGAAGAUAUAGUCCGAACUGCUAAGCGAUUAGCAGAAGUGGCAAUUAACUCAGCCACAUUUAACAUAAAAAAAAGGAAGAGCGAAAUUCCUUGUCUGGUGAGUUCAGACCCGCACGAAUGGUAGAACGACUUAGCGACUGUCUUGAGGAUAGACUCGGUGAAAUUGCAAUGGCUGUGAAGAUGCGGCCUUCCCAUACUUGGACAAGAAGACCCCGUGGAGCUUUACUGGAGCUUGGCCCUGUUUUGAAAAAUUAAUUGUGNNNNNNNNNNNNNNNNNNNNNNNNNNNNNNNNNNNNNNNNNNNNNNNNNNNNNNNNNNNNNNNNNNNNNNNNNNNNUAUAUAGUGUGCUUGACUGCGAGACAAACAGGUCGAGCAGGUGCGAAAGCAGGUUUUAGUGAUCCUUAUUUACCUCAUGGGAGGGAAUAGGCUUAUCGGAUAAAAGCUACCCCGGGGAUAACAGGCUAGUCUUGCCCAACAGUCCACAAGGACGGCAAGGUUCGGCACCUUUUUAAAAACAUUGGGGUGCGGUGGAAGUAAUUCCAUUAGACUGUUAAACAAAAUUAGAAACUUCUUGAAACAAAAAUACUAGUCAAAAUCGGUGAACGCCUAGGCAGUAAUGCAAGGUCAACACCGAGGGAAGUCCGACGUAACGUCGGACCCUGUAACGACUUGUGCGAAAGCACAGAUAUCAGCUUGCGGAUAUUCCGGGUACUUAAACUGAUAUAUAAAACUAGCCCCCGAAGAACAUCGGGGUGAAGGUAUAGUCUGAUCCUGUGAGUAAUCACAGACAAAUUAAAAAGACAGCGAUGUCGGCUCAUCGUAUCCUGGGGCUGAAGUAGGUCCCAAGGGUCUGGCUGUUCGCCAGUUAAAACGGUACGCGAGCUGGGUUCAAACCGUCAAUUUGGCGGCUCCCGAAAGUAAUUUCGGGAUGCAUAAACUGACUCAUAUCGGAGAAGUCCUAGACACAGCAAACUGUCAUGUGCUAGGAUAAUUCCGAGGGAAGUCUGAAUCCUAAUGAAUAAAUUGUCCAAGUCUCAGAGUAGUUAUCUUGCUGGAUUUCUUGAUGCUGACGGUAGUAUUUAUGUUAAAUUAACAAAAAAUUCUACCUAUAAAUAUCGGUAUCAGGUAUCUCCAAAUAUAGUUUUCUACCAAUCUCAAAGUUCUAAAGUUUCCUUAAAGGAACUUCAUAAAAUAACCGGAAUAGGUUAUUUAAGAAAAAGAAAUGACGGGAUUGAAGAAUACAUAAUAGGAGAUAUAAAAUCCAUUAGAGAUUUUUUAAAUAAAAUAGAAAAAUUUCUAAUUUUCAAAAGAAAGCAGGCAAAACUCAUUAUUGAAAUUCUUAAUUUAAAGGAGAAAAUUAGAUCUCCACAAGAAUUUUUAGAACUCUGUAGGCUUGUAGACCAAUUUAAGUUGUUGAAUUACUCCAAAAAGAGAACAAUUUUGAUGGAUGUAAUUAAACAAACUUUAAUUAAAGAAGGAUUCAUGACCCCGUAGAGACUUGACCUAUUUAGGUCAAAUAUGAGGUACCAGAUAAUCUGGAUUUAAACUCAUAUUAGAUGUCAGUCCCCCUACGUUACAGUAGGGGGGUGGUAUAGUCCAUACAGCUAGUAAUAGUUGAAUUAUAUGCGUGAGACAGGUUGGACUCUAUCCAGUAUGGGCGUUUGGAUUCUUGAAGGGAGUUGUCUCUAGUACGAGAGGACCGAGAUGAGGAAACCUCUAGUGUGCCGGUUGUACUUACAAGUGCAGCGCCGGGUAGCUACGUUUCUUUUUGAUAAGUGCUGAAAGCAUCUAAGCACGAAGCAGACCCUAAGAUGAGGAAUCUUUAAGACUCCUGGAAGACUACCAGGUUGAUAGGCUGGCGGUGUAAGAUCUGUGAGGAUUUUAGCCAACCAGUACUAAUAGUC
RNAcentral lists this ribosomal RNA (4410 nucleotides) under Candidatus Daviesbacteria bacterium RIFCSPHIGHO2_12_FULL_37_16. RNAcentral describes it as "23S ribosomal RNA". The stretch from base 1 to 3452 matches the Rfam family "Bacterial large subunit ribosomal RNA". Lineage: Bacteria; Candidatus Daviesiibacteriota. The record is from RNAcentral.